RNAcentral lists this ribosomal RNA (345 nucleotides) under uncultured eukaryote. Its description in RNAcentral is "SSU rRNA". It matches the Rfam family "Eukaryotic small subunit ribosomal RNA", at positions 594 to 945 of the family's 1831-position model. The record is from RNAcentral.
AUAGCGUAUAUUAAAGUUGUUGCAGUUAAAAAGCUCGUCGUUGAACCUUGGAUCUGGCUGCUCGGUCCGCCUAACCGCGUGCACUGGUGCGGCCGGAUCUUUCCUUCUGGCUAGCCUCAUGCUCUUCACUGGGUGUGUUGGGGAUCCAGGACUUUUACUUUGAAAAAAUUAGAGUGUUCAAAGCAGGCCUAUGCUCGAAUACAUUAGCAUGGAAUAAUAGAAUAGGACGGCGGUUCUAUUUUGUUGGUUUCUAGAGCCACCGUAAUGAUUAAUAGGGAUAGUCGGGGGCAUCAGUAUUCAAUUGUCAGAGGUGAAAUUCUUGGAUCUAUUGAAGACUAACUACUG